Molecule: transfer RNA, 84 nt
Filed under: Planctomycetaceae bacterium
Lineage: Bacteria; Pseudomonadati; Planctomycetota; Planctomycetia; Planctomycetales; Planctomycetaceae
Also listed under: 1 other name
Description: tRNA-Leu
Rfam family: tRNA
About the family: Transfer RNA (tRNA) molecules are approximately 80 nucleotides in length. Their secondary structure includes four short double-helical elements and three loops (D, anti-codon, and T loops).
Source: RNAcentral
GCCAGAGUGGCGGAAUUGGCAGACGCGCUGGAUUCAAAAUCCAGUGGCCGCAAGGUCGUGUGGGUUCAAGUCCCACCUCUGGUA